This 397-nucleotide ribosomal RNA is filed under the name uncultured bacterium. Its description in RNAcentral is "partial 16S ribosomal RNA". It matches the Rfam family "Bacterial small subunit ribosomal RNA", at positions 523 to 918 of the family's 1533-position model. The record is from RNAcentral.
AUACGUAGGGGGCGAGCGUUGUCCGGAAUGACUGGGCGUAAAGGGCGUGUAGGCGGCCGAUUAAGUCUGGAGUGAAAGUCCUGCAUUCAAUGUGGGAAUUGCUUUGGAUACUGCAGUGCUAGAGUGCGGAAGAGGUAAGUGGAAUUCCCAGUGUAGCGGUGAAAUGCGUAGAGAUUGGGAGGAACACCAGUGGCGAAGGCGACUUACUGGGCCGUAACUGACGCUGAGGCGCGAAAGCGUGGGGAGCGAACAGGAUUAGAUACCCUGGUAGUCCACGCGGUAAACGAUGAAUGCUAGGUGUUGCGGGUAUCGACCCCUGCAGUGCCGGAGUAAACACAAUAAGCAUUCCGCCUGGGGAGUACGGCCGCAAGGUUGAAACUCAAAUGAAUUGACGGGG